RNAcentral lists this transfer RNA (71 nucleotides) under Bos taurus (domestic cattle). It matches the Rfam family "tRNA". From Rfam's summary of the family: Transfer RNA (tRNA) molecules are approximately 80 nucleotides in length. Their secondary structure includes four short double-helical elements and three loops (D, anti-codon, and T loops). Lineage: Eukaryota; Metazoa; Chordata; Mammalia; Artiodactyla; Bovidae. The record is from Rfam by way of RNAcentral. RNAcentral also lists the same sequence under 5 other names.
UCCCUGUGGCUCAGAUGGUACAGCAUCUACCUGCAAUGCAGGAGACCCAGGUUCGAUUCCUGGGUUGGGAA